AGAGGCCGCGGGGUCGCGUCCACGCGCUGCCCCCGGGGUAUGAGACGAGACGAGACCGCGGGCUGCGGCCGCUCGUCCUCGGUCCGUCCUCCGUCUGUCCGUCUGCCAGCGGCGGGAAAGCUGGGCGCUCUGAGCUCCCCUUGGACAUCGCCACACCCAGGACCUGCUCGUGCCGCAAUUCCCCACGGAAAUGACCGAGUUUGAAAAGAGAAGCUUGUUCCCCUGGUGCGGGAGAGAGAAUGAUGCUCCAGGGGACUCCCGAGCCCACGCGGGGCCCGGCCGCCCCACGCCGAUCCCCGGCGCGCCCGCGGUGCUGUGCCAGGCGGCGGCGCUUCCGCGCUGACCCGUCACUGUGGAUGGAGAAAGUUUGGCUCCUGCAGGGGAAGACGUUGCGGAGAAGAUGGACGCACCAGACAGAUUCCACUUCGCCCGCUUUCGCGUUUGAAGGCUCUUGUUUACAGUGGCAGCAUGACUUUUUGUCAUCGCGAGUGUGAAGUCACUUCCCUCAAACCCCCCGCGCAGCCCUUCUUCCUCUCUGGACUCUGCCACCUCUGGAAGAGAAGCUGACAUUGACUUCACCAUCCCCUCCCCACAGUGCCACAGGCACUCUGAGGGCACCCCUUUUCACCUCUGCUGAGAAGAGGCCAAGUGCAUGCAUGGGGUGUUCUGUUUUGCUUUGAUUUGUGUGUGUGUGUGGGGGGGAGUUAUUUCUUGGUGUCCGAGUUGGGUUUAAUAUUUUGGAAACAGGGUCUCUUGUACUCCAUACUGGAUUCGAAUUCACUUAUGGCCAUGAGAAGUCUUGAACUCGAUAUCCUCUUGCCUCCACUUCUCAAGGGCUGGAAUUACAUGCUUGUGCCACCAGGCCAGGCUUGCACUGGUCUUUUAAAUCUUGAAGUGAAGAUAUGAGUCUGUGAAUGAAUGAAUGACAUAUUGACGGCAGGCAUUAAAGGAUUUUUAAACAGCAUUCGGUUUCUGGUGCUGUUUCUGUGGACAGGACUGCAUAGAUUCACUAGUAUUGUAGAUCUCCACCACGGAACUUGAAAGCUAUUCGUGGUUGCGACAGCUGCAGUGGUACCGGAGCGUUUGCCUUCAAAGGUUUCAGAAGAAAGAAUAAAACAGAGAGAGAAAUUUUCAAAAGCACAGCAAAUAAAUCCAAAAGUUCGAUAUUCAAUUAGUAAGAUAUACAGAUCCAGGGUGCAGCAGAGGAAACUGCAGUCAACUUACAAUACUUGCUGAAGGUUUCCAUCUCGACAUACUGAGUGCCUUAUCCUCUAAUGCAUCCUUACUACCAGUCUCAGAUAACUACAUCAGGCCAGGGUGACAAAGAAGAUGGUCGACCACAUCAAGCCUCCCAUCCUAUGAUGAGACAACUUCAGGCCAUGGUCU
This is a long non-coding RNA of Jaculus jaculus (lesser Egyptian jerboa), 1386 nucleotides long. RefSeq lists it as uncharacterized. The record is from RefSeq and is a predicted model, not a curated record. NCBI's taxonomy places the organism in Eukaryota, Metazoa, Chordata, Mammalia, Rodentia, Dipodidae. The transcript is spliced from 4 exons.